AAUCGAAAUUACAACAACUAAAAAAGCAUCAAAUCAAAAUAGCGUAGAUAAUCACAGAAAGUUUUGGGUGGUGCAUUGGCCCAGGUCAAGAGCAGAAGCAGGAUUCUGGAUGGUAUGCCCAAAACAAAAAAAGGCUUAUUUCCAGCAGACGCAGGUACUAUGCUGCCAGAACCGACGGAUCCUUCGGCCGGAUCCUGAUGCUUCCAAUGUGAACUCCGAAAUGGGAUACGGAUUGUCAGAGUAACUACCCAUAGGCCUUAUCCUAUAUCUCUGACUAGGUGUGGCCUUCCAAGAUGCAUUCCUUCGUUUCAUCGCGCCCUCAUUAGAAGGAGAG
RNAcentral lists this unclassified non-coding RNA (334 nucleotides) under Hevea brasiliensis (rubber tree). The record is from RNAcentral. Lineage: Eukaryota; Viridiplantae; Streptophyta; Magnoliopsida; Malpighiales; Euphorbiaceae.